RNAcentral lists this ribosomal RNA (277 nucleotides) under uncultured bacterium. RNAcentral describes it as "partial 16S ribosomal RNA". It matches the Rfam family "Bacterial small subunit ribosomal RNA", at positions 28 to 323 of the family's 1533-position model. The record is from RNAcentral.
AGCGAACGCUGGCGGCAUGCUUAACACAUGCAAGUCGCACGGUUCGGGUUUCGGCCCGGGCAGUGGCGGACGGGUGAGUAACGCGUAGGGAUUUAUCCUUGGAUGGGGGACAACCGCGGGAAACCGCGGCUAAUACCGCAUGAUGCCUGAGGGCCAAAGCUCGCGAGAGCGUCUGGGGAGGAGCCUGCGUCCGAUUAGCUAGUUGGUGGGGUAACGGCUCACCAAGGCGUCGAUCGGUAGCUGGUCUGAGAGGAUGAUCAGCCACACUGGGACUGAG